RNAcentral lists this transfer RNA (76 nucleotides) under Bauldia sp. Its description in RNAcentral is "tRNA-Trp". It matches the Rfam family "tRNA". From Rfam's summary of the family: Transfer RNA (tRNA) molecules are approximately 80 nucleotides in length. Lineage: Bacteria; Pseudomonadati; Pseudomonadota; Alphaproteobacteria; Hyphomicrobiales; Kaistiaceae. RNAcentral also lists the same sequence under 1 other name. The record is from RNAcentral.
AGGGGUAUAGCUCAGUUGGUAGAGCGGCGGUCUCCAAAACCGCAGGCCGUAGGUUCGAGUCCUACUGCCCCUGCCA